GUACACGCUGUGACUAGCAUAUCAAUAAGCGGAGGAAAAGAAACUAACAAGGAUUCCCCUAGUAACGGCGAGUGAAGCGGGAAGAGCUCAAAUUUGAAAUCUUAAAGGGUUUCCCUUUACGAAUUGUAGUUUAAAGAAGUGUUUUCUGUUGAGGUUUUGGUAAAAGUUCUUUGGAAUAGGACAUCAUAGAGGGUGAGAAUCCCGUAUUUGACCUUUACUUUCAACUUUGUGAUACACUUUCAAAGAGUCGGAUUGUUUGGGAAUGCAGUCCAAAAUGGGUGGUAAAUUUCAUCUAAAGCUAAAUAUUGGCGAGAGACCGAUAGCGAACAAGUACCGUGAGGGAAAGAUGAAAAGAACUUUGAAAAGAGAGUUAAACAGUACGUGAAAUUGUCAAAAGGGAAGCGUUUGACACCAGUGUUGUUUUUCUGAAAAUCUAAUUAAAGAACUGUUUAUGCUAAGCUGUUUAGACUUUAUCAGCUAUCUGUUUAGUUUUGAGCUUUUCUUUAAUGCACUUUUCAGUUAACAAGUCAACAUCAAUUUCUUUUGCUGUAAAAAAGCUUGAGGAAGGUGGCUUGAGAUUCGUCUUAAGUGUUUAUAGCCUCUUGCCUAUGCAGUCGGAGAGAUUGAGGUCUGCAGCGUAGAUCCUUCGGGGCUAAAUGCAUUUGUGCUAAGUUAUAGCAUUUCAUAGACAACUUGUUGACUAUGAUUUGUCUUGUAGCUUACUCGCUUAUGUUAUUUUACCUACGCUUAGGAUGUUGACGAGACUGUCGAUCUC
Molecule: ribosomal RNA, 775 nt
Filed under: uncultured Neocallimastigales
Lineage: Eukaryota; Fungi; Neocallimastigomycota; Neocallimastigomycetes; Neocallimastigales
Description: partial large subunit ribosomal RNA
Rfam family: Eukaryotic large subunit ribosomal RNA
Source: RNAcentral